This is a long non-coding RNA of Rhagoletis zephyria (snowberry fruit fly), 1184 nucleotides long. RefSeq lists it as uncharacterized. NCBI's taxonomy places the organism in Eukaryota, Metazoa, Arthropoda, Insecta, Diptera, Tephritidae. The record is from RefSeq and is a predicted model, not a curated record.
CACAUUUCUCAGAAAUUUGACAACAAAACAAAACAAAGCGAGAUAUGUCGAGCCAACAAAGAAGGCGCAGUUGGAAAAUUGAGUAAUUAGUAAUGAAGUAGCAGGCAUAUUUGGAAAAUUAUGCCGAUAAACAGGAUGGAAUUUGGGAAAAAAUGUUAUAAAUCGAGUGGCUCAUUUACGAUGUGCUCCAAACAUUUGGCGAACUUUUUUUCGCCUUUUCAACGUGCUAAGUAACAAGUUAAGAUGACUGCCAUCAUGGGCCGGUAAGAAACCGCAAGCAAAGGGCAGACAACCUUCCAGGAAGCUGCCUCCUGUCCCCGAGCCGAAGCUGCAGUUCAGCAAGAGCAGGUCAGCAAAUUGCUACCCUGAUCAAACGUAAACUAAAGCGCUCUGCUGUGAUUGCACUCCGUAAAUGUGAAAACUUGGUGCAUGCUGAGAAAUAUCAAACAAGAAAACUCCGUGAUGGACGCCGUGAGAUGGAGUAACGCUGUGUGGCAAAGAAAUGCGGCCAAUUCGACGGGCCUGAAAAAUCCAAAUUGGCUUUUGUGAUCCGCAUCCGCGGUAUCAACAAAGUUGCACAAAAAGUGCGUAGUUUUACAGUUCUGUCUUCGCCACAUUAAAACGGUGUGUUCAUCAAAUUGAGCAAGGCAACCAUUAAUAUGCUACGUAUGCCGAACCCCCUAUAUGGGGUUAUCCAAAUCUUAAAUCAGUUUGUGAAUUGAUGUACAAACGUGGAAUGGUCAAGCGUGUCCCAAUCUCUGCUUUGUGAUCGAACGCAAAUUUCGCGAAGCGCACGAAAUUCAGUGCGUUGAUUCACUUCACUUCAAGAAAGCCCCCAACUUCCUGUUGCUAUUCAAGCUCAACACAUCAACCCGAGGCUGGCGCAAGAAGGCUAAUCACUACGUUGAGGUUGGUGAUUUCGGUAGCCGUGAGGAUAAGAUCAACAAAUUGCUGCACAAGAUGGCUUAAAGAAAUUGUUGUUUUGUAUUUAAGUAGACAAUAUAAUUUGGCACAUCUUCAAAAGACGCCCAAGAAAAAAAAAAAAAGAAAAUUAAAAAAUUCCUGAAGUUGCCUUUUCACGGGUCGAUUUCUGUCGACUGGAAAAUUUACUUAAGAUAUCGACUAGCCAAAACGCUUACAUUUUACGGUUGAAUUGCAAUUUACACGGGUAGAUUUUGGUUAAA